This 661-nucleotide long non-coding RNA is filed under the name Parus major (Great Tit). RNAcentral describes it as "lncRNA (ENSPMJG00000008147.1)". The record is from RNAcentral. Lineage: Eukaryota; Metazoa; Chordata; Aves; Passeriformes; Paridae.
CUGUCUUGUUCUUCCAUGUGUAAACACUGAGCUCUGUCCCAGCUCCUUUUGAUGAUAAAUUCCUUGUCUUUUGAAUCACAAAUCACCUUUUUGUGUGUCAGGAGGAAGCGUCAAAGCCCAAAGUCACUUUGUUUUUUAUAGCACCAGCGCUCUCCAGCUGAACUCCGCUCAGAUAUCACCGAUUUCACGGAGCUCUGCAACAACAGCAGGUUUCUGGCAAGACAAAAGCCUCCUGACACCCUGGCAUGUUCAUUGCAUCAGGAGUCUACACGGUGUGGUUUUGCUUUCAGAUGAAAACAUUUUCAAGCUCCACUCCCAGGGCAGAUCUCCUGCCUAUCUGUAGUUUACCUCUCAGCUCCUGCAUGAGGGCAGGGAGCAAGAUGCUGGCCAGUGACACAGCUGCCUCCUGGCUGGGGGAGUGUGGGAUCCUGUCCCCCUGCACUAGGGAGAAAUUAAAGGUAACCCUCCUUGAGCAGGGAAUGCUGAACAAGAUGCUCUGAUCCACCACAGGAGCUAGGAUUAGGUGCUGGUUCUUCACACUGCAUUUCUGCACAUUCUGGAUAGUCAUAAGCUGCUCUGAAAUGUUAACUGAGAACACGAGCUCAUGAGCCCAGUAAUUUGGAAGUGAGUGAUUAAAAUUUCUAUUUAAAAUAAAGCUGGC